Molecule: ribosomal RNA, 654 nt
Filed under: Triticum aestivum (bread wheat)
Lineage: Eukaryota; Viridiplantae; Streptophyta; Magnoliopsida; Poales; Poaceae
Description: partial small subunit ribosomal RNA
Source: RNAcentral
AUGAGCCCCUUGUCACUGCACCCCAUGCUUGCGCGGCUGCCUUUUAUACGCAGCUCAGGCGUUUUCCCCAGCGCAUCGUCUCCAGCUCCGGCUAUUUUGCCAAAACCCACGGCGAGUUGGAUAAUUUUCAAGACGGAGGCUGGAAUCAGCUUCUUGUUUCGCUACAACCGGCAAAUAAAAAGCUGGAACCUGCAUGUAGUUUUGGUGCAUCGCCUGGAGUGUAGAAUGCAUCGUCUGGAGUGUUUUCUACGGCAACAACGGCGGCCGCCUCAUUUGUUGCAUCCAACAAGACAAAAACUUCUACCGGCGAUCUUUUUUGCUACCACAACGACUGACGAAAGUAGUGACCAGGAGAUGGCUUUGCAGCAAACAAUCUAUUUUCAGGCAAAGCUAGAGCUGGAACUAGCUUUUGUUUUUGCUACAACCGGCAAAUCAAAAGCUGGAACCAACCACAAUUUUUGCUGCAUCCUCGGAGUGUUUUCCACACUGACAGCGGAGUGCAUGAUUUUGUUGCAACCGGCAAUCACAAAAGCUACAAUCGGCGAUCGAUUUUGCUACAAUGGCGAUGGGGUUGUGACAACUACGAGCUAUUUUUUGCUGGAACUAGCCAAUUUUUUUGCUACCACCGACGGACAUUUUUGUUGCUCGAUGUAG